This 362-nucleotide ribosomal RNA is filed under the name Arachnodes saprinoides. RNAcentral's name for it is "partial 12S ribosomal RNA". Lineage: Eukaryota; Metazoa; Arthropoda; Insecta; Coleoptera; Scarabaeidae. The record is from RNAcentral.
CCCUAUUAUAAGGAAUAUAAAAAAUAAUGCUAGAAUAGUAGUAGUUAUGGUCUUGAAAUUUAAAAGAUUUGGCGGUAUUUUAGUCUUUUCAGAGGAACCUGUUCUAUAAUUGAUGAUCCACGAUUAAUUGUACUUAAUUUAUUAGUUUGUAUACCGUCGUAGGUUGAAUGUCUUUGAAGGGUUUAAUGUUCAUAAUUUAUAAUUUUAUAAAGGAAAUCAGAUCAAGGUACAGUUUAUAAUUAAGAAGAGAUGGGUUACAAUAAAAUUAUUUAUAAUGAAUUUAAUAAUUAACAUUAUUAUUGAAAGUGGAUUUGAUAGUAAUAUAUUUAAGUUAAAAUAUAUGAUUUAAGCUCUAGAGUAUG